GACGAACCUUGCUAACGUUAUUCGGAAUUACUGGGCGUAAAGGGCUCGUAGGUGGCCAACUAAGUCGGACGUGAAAUCCCUCAGCUUAACUGGGGAACUGCGUCCGAUACUGGAUGGCUUGAGUUUGGGAGAGGGAUGCGGAAUUCCAGGUGUAGCGGUGAAAUGCGUAGAUAUCUGGAGGAACACCGGUGGCGAAGGCGGCAUCCUGGACCAACACUGACACUGAGGAGCGAAAGCCAGGGGAGCAAACGGG
This 253-nucleotide ribosomal RNA is filed under the name uncultured bacterium. Its description in RNAcentral is "partial 16S ribosomal RNA". It matches the Rfam family "Bacterial small subunit ribosomal RNA", at positions 524 to 776 of the family's 1533-position model. The record is from RNAcentral.